AACGAACGCUGGCGGCAGGCUUAACACAUGCAAGUCGAGCGCAUCCUUCGGGGUGAGCGGCAGACGGGCGAGUAACGCGUGGGAACGUACCCUUUCCUACGGAAUAGCUCCGGGAAACUGGAAUUAAUACCGUAUACACCCUUAGGGGGAAAGAUUUAUCGGGGAAGGAUCGGCCCGCGUUGGAUUAGCUAGUUGGUGGGGUAAAGGCCUACCAAGGCGACGAUCCAUAGCUGGUCUGAGAGGAUGAUCAGCCACAUUGGGACUGAGACACGGCCCAAACUCCUACGGGAGGCAGCAGUGGGGAAUAUUGGACAAUGGGCGCAAGCCUGAUCCAGCCAAGCCGCGUGAGUGAUGAAGGCCUUAGGGUUGUAAAGCUCUUUCAGUAGGGAAGAUAAUGACGGUACCUACAGAAGAAGCCCCGGCUAACUUCGUGCCAGCAGCCGCGGUAA
Molecule: ribosomal RNA, 449 nt
Filed under: uncultured bacterium
Lineage: Bacteria
Description: partial 16S ribosomal RNA
Rfam family: Bacterial small subunit ribosomal RNA
Source: RNAcentral